AGAGUUUGAUCCUGGCUCAGAACGAACGCUGGCGGCAGGCUUAACACAUGCAAGUCGAGCGCACUCUUCGGAGUGAGCGGCGGACGGGUUAGUAACGCGUGGGAACGUGCCCUUCUCUAAGGAAUAGCCACUGGAAACGGUGAGUAAUACCUUAUACGCCCUUCGGGGGAAAGAUUUAUCGGAGAAGGAUCGGCCCGCGUUAGAUUAGAUAGUUGGUGGGGUAAUGGCCUACCAAGUCUACGAUCUAUAGCUGGUUUUAGAGGAUGAUCAGCAACACUGGGACUGAGACACGGCCCAGACUCCUACGGGAGGCAGCAGUGGGGAAUCUUGGACAAUGGGCGCAAGCCUGAUCCAGCCAUGCCGCGUGAGUGAUGAAGGCCUUAGGGUCGUAAAGCUCUUUCGCCAGAGAUGAUAAUGACAGUAUCUGGUAAAGAAACCCCGGCA
Molecule: ribosomal RNA, 444 nt
Filed under: uncultured Alphaproteobacteria bacterium
Lineage: Bacteria; Pseudomonadati; Pseudomonadota; Alphaproteobacteria
Description: bacterial SSU rRNA
Rfam family: Bacterial small subunit ribosomal RNA
Source: RNAcentral